AGCAAAGUGAGGAGAUUAUAUGAUCUGAAGUAUCUAAUGUGGAUACAACCAUACAUGGUCUUCAUAGUUCUCUGAUUGUU
This is a non-coding RNA of Triticum aestivum (bread wheat), 80 nucleotides long. Lineage: Eukaryota; Viridiplantae; Streptophyta; Magnoliopsida; Poales; Poaceae. The record is from Rfam.